CGUUCUGGCUUUGCCAGGACAAGUACAGUGGCGGACGGGUGCGUAACGCGUAGAUAACCUGCCCUCAGGCGCGGGACAAUCACGGGAAACCGUGGCUAAUACCGCACGUCGUCUGGAUCCCGCAUGGGAACCAGAUGAAAGCCUUCGGGUGCCUUUGGAUGGGUCUGCGUUGGAUUAGCUUGUUGGUGAAGUAAAAGCUCACCAAGGCGACGAUCCAUAGCUGGUCUGAGAGGACGAUCAGUCACACUGGGACUGAGACACGGCCCAGACUCCUACGGGAGGCAGCAGUGGGGAAUCUUGCACAAUGGGGGAAACCCUGAUGCAGCCAUGCCGCGUGGAGGAAGACACCCCUAUGGGGCGUAAACUCCUUUUCUGAGAGAAGAAACCCCUGUAUGUUCAGGGUGUGACGGUAUCUCAGGAAUAAGCACCGGCUAACUCCGUG
This 442-nucleotide ribosomal RNA is filed under the name uncultured bacterium. RNAcentral describes it as "bacterial SSU rRNA". It matches the Rfam family "Bacterial small subunit ribosomal RNA", at positions 70 to 507 of the family's 1533-position model. The record is from RNAcentral.